This 1977-nucleotide ribosomal RNA is filed under the name Staphylococcus aureus. RNAcentral describes it as "partial 23S ribosomal RNA". It matches the Rfam family "Bacterial large subunit ribosomal RNA", at positions 1 to 1932 of the family's 2925-position model. The record is from RNAcentral. Lineage: Bacteria; Bacillati; Bacillota; Bacilli; Caryophanales; Staphylococcaceae.
GGGUUGUGAGGUUAAGCGACUAAGCGUACACGGUGGAUGCCCUGGCAGUCAGAGGCGAUGAAGGACGUGCUAAUCUGCGAUAAGCGUCGGUAAGGUGAUAUGAACCGUUAUAACCGGCGAUUUCCGAAUGGGGAAACCCAGUGUGUUUCGACACACUAUCAUUAACUGAAUCCAUAGGUUAAUGAGGCGAACCGGGGGAACUGAAACAUCUAAGUACCCCGAGGAAAAGAAAUCAACCGAGAUUCCCCCAGUAGCGGCGAGCGAACGGGGAGCAGCCCAGAGCCUGAAUCAGUGUGUGUGUUAGUGGAAGCGUCUGGAAAGGCGCGCGAUACAGGGUGACAGCCCCGUACACAAAAAUGCACAUGCUGUGAGCUCGAUGAGUAGGGCGGGACACGUGGUAUCCUGUCUGAAUAUGGGGGGACCAUCCUCCAAGGCUAAAUACUCCUGACUGACCGAUAGUGAACCAGUACCNNNNNNNNNNNNNNNNNNNNNNNNNNNNNNNNNNNNNNNNNNNNNNNNNNNNNNNNNNNACCGUGAGGGAAAGGCGAAAAGAACCCCGGCGAGGGGAGUGAAAAAGAACCUGAAACCGUGUACGUACAAGCAGUGGGAGCACGCUUAGGCGUGUGACUGCGUACCUUUUGUAUAAUGGGUCAGCGACUUAUAUUCUGUAGCAAGGUUAACCGAAUAGGGGAGCCGAAGGGAAACCGAGUCUUAACUGGGCGUUAAGUUGCAGGGUAUAGACCCGAAACCCGGUGAUCUAGCCAUGGGCAGGUUGAAGGUUGGGUAACACUAACUGGAGGACCGAACCGACUAAUGUUGAAAAAUUAGCGGAUGACUUGUGGCUGGGGGUGAAAGGCCAAUCAAACCGGGAGAUAGCUGGUUCUCCCCGAAAGCUAUUUAGGUAGCGCCUCGUGAAUUCAUCUCCGGGGGUAGAGCACUGUUUCGGCAAGGGGGUCAUCCCGACUUACCAACCCGAUGCAAACUGCGAAUACCGGAGAAUGUUAUCACGGGAGACACACGGCGGGUGCUAACGUCCGUCGUGAAGAGGGAAACAACCCAGACCGCCAGCUAAGGUCCCAAAGUCAUGGUUAAGUGGGAAACGAUGUGGGAAGGCCCAGACAGCCAGGAUGUUGGCUUAGAAGCAGCCAUCAUUUAAAGAAAGCGUAAUAGCUCACUGGUCGAGUCGGCCUGCGCGGAAGAUGUAACGGGGCUAAACCAUGCACCGAAGCUGCGGCAGCGACGCUUAUGCGUUGUUGGGUAGGGGAGCGUUCUGUAAGCCUGUGAAGGUGUGCUGUGAGGCAUGCUGGAGGUAUCAGAAGUGCGAAUGCUGACAUAAGUAACGAUAAAGCGGGUGAAAAGCCCGCUCGCCGGAAGACCAAGGGUUCCUGUCCAACGUUAAUCGGGGCAGGGUGAGUCGACCCCUAAGGCGAGGCCGAAAGGCGUAGUCGAUGGGAAACAGGUUAAUAUUCCUGUACUUGGUGUUACUGCGAAGGGGGGACGGAGAAGGCUAUGUUGGCCGGGCGACGGUUGUCCCGGUUUAAGCGUGUAGGCUGGUUUUCCAGGCAAAUCCGGAAAAUCAAGGCUGAGGCGUGAUGACGAGGCACUACGGUGCUGAAGCAACAAAUGCCCUGCUUCCAGGAAAAGCCUCUAAGCAUCAGGUAACAUCAAAUCGUACCCCAAACCGACACAGGUGGUCAGGUAGAGAAUACCAAGGCGCUUGAGAGAACUCGGGUGAAGGAACUAGGCAAAAUGGUGCCGUAACUUCGGGAGAAGGCACGCUGAUAUGUAGGUGAAGUCCCUCGCGGAUGGAGCUGAAAUCAGUCGAAGAUACCAGCUGGCUGCAACUGUUUAUUAAAAACACAGCACUGUGCAAACACGAAAGUGGACGUAUACGGUGUGACGCCUGCCCGGUGCCGGAAGGUUAAUUGAUGGGGUCAGCGCAAGCGAAGCUCUUGAUCGAAGCCCCGGUAAACGGCG